GAUGAACGCUAGCGAUAGGCUUAACACAUGCAAGUCGAGGGGCAGCACAAGGUAGCUUGCUAUCUGGGUGGCGACCGGCGCACGGGUGCGUAACGCGUAUGCAACUUGCCCUAUACAGGAGGAUAACCCGUCGAAAGACGGACUAAUACUGCGUAUGCUCACAACUUGGCAUCAAGUGGUGAGGAAAGAAAUUCGGUAUAGGAUAGGCAUGCGUCCCAUUAGCUUGUUGGUGAGGUAACGGCUCACCAAGGCAACGAUGGGUAGGGGAACUGAGAGGUUUAUCCCCCACACUGGUACUGAGACACGGACCAGACUCCUACGGGAGGCAGCAGUGAGGAAUAUUGGUCAAUGGGCGCGAGCCUGAACCAGCCAAGUCGCGUGAAGGAUGACUGUCUCAUGGAUUGUAAACUUCUUUUAUACGGGAAUAACAAGAGUCACGUGUGACUCCCUGCAUGUACCGUAUGAAUAAGCAUCGGCUAACUCCGUG
This 487-nucleotide ribosomal RNA is filed under the name uncultured bacterium. Its description in RNAcentral is "partial 16S ribosomal RNA". It matches the Rfam family "Bacterial small subunit ribosomal RNA", at positions 28 to 507 of the family's 1533-position model. The record is from RNAcentral.